GUGUACUGGGGAUAUAGUUAAAGGAGGACCCGGUAUAUAAAGAAAAUCACGUACUCCUGAAAGGCGAGUGACUCAUUAGAAGGUUGAAUGUACGUGGCAGGAGGACAAGGCAAAAACACCUCCAUGUCAUCGUGUGAAAGGGAAGGGAAAGUGAGGAAGGUAAGAGGCAGAGGAGAAAAGGAACUUUGAACCAGACCAUGGACUUCUCAGGAGGUCCUGAACCCUGCAUGUCUGUGCAACCACCAGCUCCAUUCCUUACUCUCAGGGGCCAGGAAGAAUUCUAUUCUCUCUGAAUGCUCUGUUCAAAAAAGUGCCUUGACACAGCAAAGGACCAGGUAAGGGCACCAUGUGGAGCAGGAAAGACAGAAUCAGAAUAUAAACAAACAAGAAAAUGAAUGAGCAAAUGGCUGAAUGAAAGGUCCAAAGAAUGACAACAAACAUUUUAUGGUUUUUAAUGGAGACAUGUACAGAAACU
Molecule: long non-coding RNA, 475 nt
Organism: Nycticebus coucang (slow loris)
Lineage: Eukaryota; Metazoa; Chordata; Mammalia; Primates; Lorisidae
Exons: 4
Source: RefSeq, a predicted model, not a curated record